GGGACGUAGUAACUCCACCUUACGUCUGAUUACUGAGUCUGGUGUUGAUAGAACAACAAUGAUAAUUCACAUCACCAGGUGGCCUCUGCUGGUUGUGAUGCUGAUUCUUCUGCUUCUCUUUUGUCUGUGGACGAGGAAGAAGAAAGCUGUGAGCUCCACCACUGAACCACAUGAGUCCAGAGAGG
Molecule: non-coding RNA, 185 nt
Organism: Gasterosteus aculeatus aculeatus (three-spined stickleback)
Lineage: Eukaryota; Metazoa; Chordata; Actinopteri; Perciformes; Gasterosteidae
Source: RefSeq, a predicted model, not a curated record